GUGUCAGUCAUAUUCUUUACCGCAUACACCAAAUAUGCACGUUAUCCUAAAUAUUGAUACAGAUUCAUGUUUCAGGUUUUAAACACAAACCCCGCUCUUGAUGAGAAUUUCCAAUCGAGUACCUUUAUUCAUGCAAUCUCCCAAAUCUAUCCGCAUGCACCGAAGUAUCAAAAAAGUCAAACCCUUCGCAUUAACGAAUAGAAGUAGUUUAUUCCGGACUACAUCAGAGCCCAAGAAUAUCGGUAGAAAAUCAAACUUUCGAACACUGUAGCAGCGUUCGCGUACGACCGUACAACGGUUCACUUCAAACUUUCCGGUUACAGCUUUAUUAUCUUUAUAAAAAACAGCAGCUGAUGUGCAACUUUUUUAAAGCCAUCGGAAUGAUGUGUGUAUGUACGAUGUUACUCUCGUUUAUUUAUUUAAAAAUCACCAACUGGCACAUUUGCUGCACAUGUAUUACGUUCAUAGCGUAUACAUGAAUACCGGAGGUAUUCAAAGACUUGCCGAUGUACAAGAGUUUCAGAAGUUUCAUUUUCGUUCGAUAACUCUUAGUAAAAAUAACUCGGUGAAUAUCUUUUCACCAAAGAUCGGCGGCCGAGGCGGUAGGCGCGUAGUGUUCGAGAAAAAUGUAUCAGGUGGAAAACAAAUCGUUGGGCCUUGGAGUCAAAGGUCAAGGCCGAUUCGAACAUCGAAAUCUGUUCGCAUCGAUGUUUGAUUACAUGGAAAAUGCAAUCAACGGGCGUUAAGUUAACUUUACCGUAUUCUCGAUCGAUGAGAUCGAUGAUCCAAAACUGAAAUAGUCGAUCGGUUGCUCUCUUCUAACAUUCGACUAAUUUCCAGAUCGAAAUUACACCAGCCACCCUUCUCUUUCAGAGCUGACAGAAACUUUCAUCGAAACAUAAUGAUUACGAACUGACCAAAAACGCGACGCUUGGGUUACCGACUCGUUCAUUCGUUGAUGGAUAUGGACUGCUGAAACUGAAUUCACUUUCAAUAAAAAUAUUGCUUUGUAAAAUAACACAGUGAUUGACGUACUUCCAUGCCUACGUAUCUUGACGCUGACGACGUGCGAACUAUGGGAAGAGGAAUAAAUACGGUCGUUCUUUGCCAACUUCGGAUUUCGAUCCUUCGAUCGCUAUUAAAUCUGCGAUCGUAGUGUUGGUGCACACCUGGAUUACGUCUCGAUCACGUUUCUAAAAAUCGGAAAAUUCUCAAUACUCAACACUCAGAGAAAUCGAGAAGCUUUUUCGUGACAGCUUGGAAAAGCUGAGAAAUAUUCCUCGGCAUUGAAAUAUGUCCAUUAUUUUUUUCCGGCUGGUGUAGAUCACGCUGUUUAUUGGACAUAUUUUUUGAUCGCAAUUUUAUUCAUACCUAGAAUAUUUACACCUGCCAUUUGCUUGGAAACAACGAAUGUCCAGCGACUCGAUACAAAAGAAAUGAUGGCCGAUUGUUUCUCCGGUCGAAGUAAAUGCGGAAAAGAAGGCGAUUUUAUAUUCUGCGACUAAAAACUAUUUCCACCGUCAUUCGGAAAGGUUUAUUGCUACAUCGUUUUCGGAAAUUAUGAGUCGCAACCUCGGCACCUUCGAUCUAAGAAUUCCCUCAUCAGGCAGAUCAUCAUUCGCAACGAACUAUAAUGUUACCGCACACUGGAUUCGAUUGAAUUUUCGAAACCCUUCGAAAUUGUUCUCGAGGACUUUUCAAAACUCUGCAUUUUCUCCUCGUAUCAUUUUGUGAUUAGCUAGCUGUUAUUUGCUUCGCGUCGUUUUGCUGAACUGCAGCCCAACGUUCAUUCUUAUCACGAAAUCGGAUCAAUGCGUGAUUGAGAAAUCGUAAAAUAGUUUAACUUAAUGCAUCGAAUUUUCAUCUUUUCAACUAUUUUAGCGUCACGAACAUAAACGUUAUCUCGCAUGCACGGUGUUCGAAAAAUGUGCCAAGGUGUCCGCAACGUAACGAAUAUACGAACCAGAUUCAAUGUUAUUCAUCUCUGUAUACAUAUGUUGAUAUAUUUCGGAAAUUCGUUGCAACUGUUCGAGGUGAGGAUAAUUCACGAAGGGACUAGUAGGAGUCAUUGAAUUAAUCCAAUAAUUAGUUCUCAUUUAUUUGAUGUUCGUUUUUAUUUUUUGAUUGAUAUAUUCGGUAACAUUUCCCAUGAAUAAGUGUUUACUCUCAAUAAUGCAUCGUUUUUCGUUCGGAUGAUAGUUAUCUCGACAGUUGUAUUACGCGAGCCUCAACAUUCCUCAGUGAUAUUUGAACG
Molecule: long non-coding RNA, 2254 nt
Organism: Athalia rosae (coleseed sawfly)
Lineage: Eukaryota; Metazoa; Arthropoda; Insecta; Hymenoptera; Athaliidae
Exons: 3
Source: RefSeq, a predicted model, not a curated record